UACGUAGGGGGCAAGCGUUGUCCGGAAUUAUUGGGCGUAAAGAGCGCGUAGGCGGUCCGAUAAGUCGGCUGUGAAAGUCCAGGGCUCAACCCUGGAAAGCCGGCCGAUACUGUCGGACUAGAGUCCGGAAGAGGCAAGUGGAAUUCCCGGUGUAGCGGUGAAAUGCGCAGAUAUCAGGAGGAACACCAAUGGCGAAGGCAGCUUGCUGGGACGGUACUGACGCUGAGGAGCGAAAGCGUGGGGAGCAAACAGG
RNAcentral lists this ribosomal RNA (253 nucleotides) under uncultured bacterium. RNAcentral describes it as "partial 16S ribosomal RNA". It matches the Rfam family "Bacterial small subunit ribosomal RNA", at positions 524 to 776 of the family's 1533-position model. The record is from RNAcentral.